RNAcentral lists this ribosomal RNA (254 nucleotides) under uncultured bacterium. RNAcentral's name for it is "partial 16S ribosomal RNA". It matches the Rfam family "Bacterial small subunit ribosomal RNA", at positions 524 to 776 of the family's 1533-position model. The record is from RNAcentral.
UACGUAGGGUGCGAGCGUUGUCCGGAAUUAUUGGGCGUAAAGAGCCCGUAGGCGGUGUGUCACGUCGGCCGUGAAAACCUGGGGCUUAACUCUGGGCGUGCGGUCGAUACGGGCAUCACUAGAGUUCGGCAGGGGAGACUGGAAUUCCUGGUGUAGCGGUGAAAUGCGCAGAUAUCAGGAGGAACACCGGUGGCGAAGGCGGGUCUCUGGGCCGAUACUGACGCUGAGGAGCGAAAGCAUGGGUAGCGAACAGG